Molecule: ribosomal RNA, 458 nt
Filed under: uncultured bacterium
Lineage: Bacteria
Description: bacterial SSU rRNA
Rfam family: Bacterial small subunit ribosomal RNA
Source: RNAcentral
AACGAACGCUGGCGGCAUGCCUAACACAUGCAAGUCGAACGAGAUCUUCGGGUCUAGUGGCGCACGGGUGCGUAACGCGUGGGAAUCUGCCCUUGGGUUCGGAAUAACUUCGGGAAACUGAAGCUAAUACCGGAUGAUGACGUAAGUCCAAAGAUUUAUCGCCCAAGGAUGAGCCCGCGUAGGAUUAGCUAGUUGGUGAGGUAAAGGCUCACCAAGGCGACGAUCCUUAGCUGGUCUGAGAGGAUGAUCAGCCACACUGGGACUGAGACACGGCCCAGACUCCUACGGGAGGCAGCAGUGGGAAUAUUGGACAAUGGGCGAAAGCCUGAUCCAGCAAUGCCGCGUGAGUGAUGAAGGCCUUAGGGUUGUAAAGCUCUUUACCCGGGAUGAUAAUGACAGUACCGGGAGAAUAAGCUCCGGCUAACUCCGUGCCAGCAGCCGCGGUAAUGUGACUACUG